AGGAUCAGCUCAGAUUAAGCUUCACAGCGGACUGAACAUCGAGCUGCGCUUUCUCCCCGUGGCCAGUGGGUGGGGCUUGUGAAGAAGUCUUGUAUGUUACAAAAGGAACCUACAUUUUCUCUGCACCUUUGAGCUCAAAACUGCAAGGGAAAGACCACCUGGGCAGUCGGGGGGGGCCCUUCGGAGGCGGGACUUCCCGGCAUGCGGAGCUCCCCUUCUCAAGGAACGGCUUCCCCUCCCGCCUCCGCCGUAUCACGUCUCAGGGGCACUGACAGAAACAGAUUCUUGCCCCGCAGCCCAGGCUGAUGGACUCCCCGUUUCCCGAGCCUGCCAUGGCUUCCACGGACUCCUGAUGAAGAGUCCCUGAGCCUGGCCGAGGCUCUGCUGCUCCGAGCGCCGGUGGAGCUCCUGCUGGCUUCCAUUUUUAAAGGGAACAUGCACUGCU
Manis pentadactyla (Chinese pangolin) is the source of this 445-nucleotide long non-coding RNA. RefSeq lists it as uncharacterized. The record is from RefSeq and is a predicted model, not a curated record. NCBI's taxonomy places the organism in Eukaryota, Metazoa, Chordata, Mammalia, Pholidota, Manidae. The transcript is spliced from 2 exons.